Molecule: non-coding RNA, 98 nt
Organism: Earliella scabrosa
Lineage: Eukaryota; Fungi; Basidiomycota; Agaricomycetes; Polyporales; Polyporaceae
Source: the annotation of a GenBank genome assembly
UGCCCCGUGGCUGAGUUGGUUACAGCGUCCGACUGUUAAGGUCUAUGCGAAUAGGUCGCAACAUCGGAAGGUCGUGAGUUCGAGCCUCACCGGGGCAG